RNAcentral lists this unclassified non-coding RNA (3028 nucleotides) under Hevea brasiliensis (rubber tree). The record is from RNAcentral. Lineage: Eukaryota; Viridiplantae; Streptophyta; Magnoliopsida; Malpighiales; Euphorbiaceae.
AAGCAAACACGUUAAACUCUGUGUCCUUAUCCAUUCCUACACUCCACGACCCUUAGCUACAAAGAGUCAAAGCUGGAAAACGAGGAAAGGAGCAUGUAGGAUAGAGACAGUGACAUAACUCAAAACUACAAUUCAAACCUGCUGGUUUACGAUUCCAAGGACUUGAAAAGAUCUUCUUUUGCCUCCAUCUGUCAAUCAAACCAACCAGUUCUUGCAGAUUUCAAGAGCCAUGCAGGGACUCUGAAGAUUUCUUUUUGGAUAAUGCACUUUCUGGGGUGUAAUUAUUAUGGGCAGUACUCAAAACCCAUUGGUGGCUUUUGGCUAUAUUUGGUCCAAGACUGUUUAAAAACCAAGUGAAUUGUGUGGUUUUUGUUUCUCUGGGAGAAAUGGGUGUGUUGAGUGAGGGUCUUACACAGGUUUUGAUAGUUGUAGCUUCCCUGGUUGGUAUUGGGUUUGCUUUGCUUCAAUGGUUUUUGGUGUCAAAAGUGAGGGUCUCUGUUGAGUCUGGUAAUGGUUAUAGUGAUAGAUUGAUUGGAGAGGAAGAAGAAGGUGUCGAUAAUCUUGAUGUUUCUCUCAAAUGUGCUGAAAUUCAGAAUGCUAUUUCUGUUGGGGCAACCUCAUUCCUGUAUACUGAGUACAGGUAUCUCUGUAUCUUCAUGGGUGUUUUUGGUGCCAUCAUCUUUCUCUUUCUUGGUUCAGUUCAGGGCUUCAGCACCAAAAGUGAACCUUGCACAUACAGCAAGGGGAAUCUUUGUAAACCAGCUCUGGCCAAUGCCAUCUUUAGCACAAUUGCUUUCUUGCUUGGUGCUCUCACUUCUGUCCUCUCAGGUUUUCUGGGCAUGAAGAUUGCAACCUAUGCAAAUGCUAGGACAACUCUACAAGCGAGGAAGGGUGUCGGAAAAGCCUUCAUCACAGCUUUUCGGUCUGGGGCGGUGAUGGGUUUCCUUCUUUCUGCCAAUGGGCUUUUGGUGCUCUAUGUAUCCAUCAAUUUGUUCAAGCUCUACUAUGGAGAUGACUGGGAGGGACUUUAUGAGUCCAUUACUGGUUAUGGUCUUGGAGGCUCCUCAAUGGCACUCUUUGGAAGAGUUGGAGGGGGAAUAUACACAAAAGCAGCUGAUGUUGGGGCUGACCUUGUUGGAAAAGUAGAACAGGGAAUCCCUGAAGAUGAUCCUAGAAAUCCUGCAGUAAUUGCAGAUUUGGUUGGAGACAAUGUGGGUGAUUGUGCUGCUCGAGGCGCUGAUCUUUUUGAAAGUAUUGCUGCCGAAAUAAUAAGCGCAAUGAUACUUGGAGGAACAAUGGCUCAACGUUGCAAAAUUGAGGAUCCUUCUGGCUUCAUCUUGUUUCCUCUUGUUAUUCAUUCUUUUGACCUGGUUAUUUCUUCAAUCGGAAUACUUUCAAUAAGGGGUACACGUGAUUCUAGUGUAAAGUCUCCUAUAGAGGAUCCAAUGGCAAUCCUUCAGAAAGGAUACUCUGUUACAUUAGUUUUGGCAGUUCUCACAUUUGGUGCGUCUACCCGUUGGAUGCUUUAUACUGAACAAGCACCUUCAGCAUGGUUUAACUUUGCCUUGUGUGGAUUGGUUGGUAUCAUCACGGCAUAUAUUUUUGUCUGGAUCACCAAAUACUAUACUGACUACAAGCAUGAACCUGUACGCACAUUAGCUCUUGCUAGCUCCACGGGUCAUGGGACUAACAUAAUUGCUGGAGUUAGUUUGGGUCUGGAAUCAACAGCUCUUCCUGUUCUUGUCAUUAGUAUAGCUAUUGUCUCAGCUUUUUGGUUGGGUCACACCUCUGGUCUGGUGGAUGAAGCUGGAAAGCCAACUGGUGGCUUGUUUGGUACUGCUGUAGCAACAAUGGGAAUGCUCAGUACUGCUGCCUACGUUCUUACGAUGGAUAUGUUUGGUCCCAUAGCUGACAAUGCUGGUGGAAUUGUAGAGAUGAGUCGGCAGCCAGAAAGUGUUCGGGAGAUUACUGAUCUUCUUGAUGCGGUUGGAAACACAACGAAAGCUACAACCAAAGGUUUUGCCAUUGGAUCUGCCGCACUUGCAUCUUUCCUUCUAUUUAGUGCUUAUAUGGAUGAGGUUGCUGCAUUUUCCCACGAACCUUUCAACCAGGUUGAUAUUGCCAUUCCUGAAGUUUUUAUUGGUGGAUUGUUGGGCUCUAUGCUUAUUUUCUUGUUCAGUGGAUGGGCCUGCUCAGCUGUUGGCCGAACUGCUCAGGAGGUUGUUAAUGAAGUAAGGAGGCAGUUUAUUGAGAGGCCAGGUAUUAUGGUGAGUGUCUUCCAAUAGGAAUUAUUCAUUGCAUCUAAUCAGCUUGAAAAUAGUACACCUUCUCUCAAUCAUAUUGGAUCCACACUCCACAGACUAAUUUUAUUAGUGGAUCCCACAUGAUUGUGAGGCGAGGUGCACUAUCCUCUUGGACAGCUAGUGCGUUAUAGAAUUUCCCCAUUCCUGUGCUUUUUCCUUCUGCUGUUAGGCUCUGGAUUCCAAAUAAUGCACUUUUUUAACAUUUUCAUGUCAGGACUACAAGGAGAAACCAGACUAUGGUCGCUGUGUCGCAAUUGUGGCAUCUGCUUCUUUGAGGGAGAUGAUUAAGCCUGGUGCUUUGGCUAUUAUAUCACCUAUUGUAGUUGGUUUUCUGUUCCGGAUUUUAGGGUACUAUACGGGGCAUCCUCUACUUGGGGCUAAAGUUGUGGCUUCCAUGCUGAUGUUUGGAACUGUUUCUGGCAUUCUUAUGGCUCUUUUCCUAAAUACAGCUGGUGGUGCAUGGGAUAAUGCAAAGAAGUAUAUUGAGACAGGGGCUCUUGGAGGCAAGGGGAGUAACUGUCAUAAAGCAGCAGUUACUGGAGAUACUGUAGGAGACCCGUUCAAAGACACAGCUGGGCCUUCACUUCAUGUGCUUAUAAAAAUGUUAGCAACAAUCACGCUAGUCAUGGCGCCUGUCUUUCUGUGAAGAGUAGUUGAUAUCUACCGCAGUUCAAAGAGUAUAAAGCACCCUUAAUCGUUGGAAUUUUUAGGGUUUUUUUUUUUUU